UGCUGAUAGUAAAGUUGGGGUGCAGAUAGUAAAGAGGAAAAAGAAAACCUUGACGCACACCCAUCGCCUUUCUCUUUCUCUUUCCACCGUAAACCACUCCAACCUAUCUACGUCACCUCCAUAACCACUGUUCCACCAAACACCAAAGCCACAAACCACCGGCGAGCCACUCGAUCGGCGCUGACAUCGCAACCCCAUUACCACAGUCACCAACCUCAACGCAUCACAGCCAACCAACAGAGACCUAAACCCAACCAAACCGCCACCAACCAAAUCCACCACUAACCUUCAGAGGAAGAAAUUCUAUAACAAUUUUUAGAGGGCACAACUGAGACGAUGAAAGAGGAAAUAGAAGAAGAAAUUUGGUUUGCACUUUCGCAUUUGGGGGUAAUGGGAAGCGUUCUGAGAGUGUGAACGACGACGCUAUGGAGGCCGGAAAUCACGGCAGCGCCGCAUAUGGAGGCCGGAAAUCACGGCAGCGUCGCAUUUGGAGGUCGGAAAUCGCGGCGGCGCCGCUUCACGGAGAGAUUGUGUUGGCAUCUAUAGUUGGGGAUUUGGCUUAUGGGUUCUGUUAAUGUGAUGGAGAUAACUACCGCUAGAGGAAAAUAACGCUAAAGGAAAAUUAUCGAAAGAGCUUUUUCUGCCAUUUUCAUUCACGCAUUCAUAUAUUUAUAUAUGUACAUGAAAUUACCAAGAGUGACGUGCGGCUAUCAUAUUGUUUUUUGUUCUA
Glycine soja is the source of this 730-nucleotide long non-coding RNA. RefSeq lists it as uncharacterized. The record is from RefSeq and is a predicted model, not a curated record. The transcript is spliced from 2 exons. Lineage: Eukaryota; Viridiplantae; Streptophyta; Magnoliopsida; Fabales; Fabaceae.